CCGGGAAAAGAUAUUUUUUUUUUAAAAAAACCCUCUUUUUGGGGGGGCACGCCCUUUAUAAACACCCCCCUCUUUCGGGGUCUCCCCCCAAAAAACCGCGGGAUUUUUUUUCCCCCCCCGCCGUGUUAUAUAAAGGGGGGCGGGUUUUUUCGGUAUUUUUUGAGUCGUAACAAGGUAACCGUAUAGUUUGAUCCUGUCUCAGGAUGAACGCUGGCGGCGUGCCUAAUACAUGCAAGUCGAGCGAAUGGAUUAAGAGCUUGCUCUUAUGAAGUUAGCGGCGGACGGGUGAGUAACACGUGGGUAACCUACCCAUAAGACUGGGAUAACUCCGGGAAACCGGGGCUAAUACCGGAUAAUAUUUUGAACUGCAUAGUUCGAAAAUGAAAGGCGGCUUCGGCUGUCACUUAUGGAUGGACCCGCGUCGCAUUAGCUAGUUGGUGAGGUAACGGCUCACCAAGGCAACGAUGCGUAGCCGACCUGAGAGGGUGAUCGGCCACACUGGGAAUGAGACACGGCCCAGACUCCUACGGGAGGCAGCAGUAGGGAAUCUUCCGCAAUGGACGAAAGUCUGACGGAGCAACGCCGCGUGAGUGAUGAAGGCUUUCGGGUCGUAAAACUCUGUUGUUAGGGAAGAACAAGUGCUAGUUGAAUAAGCUGGCACCUUGACGGUACCUAACCAGAAAGCCACGGCUAACUACGUGCCAGCAGCCGCGGUAAUACGUAGGUGGCAAGCGUUAUCCGGAAUUAUUGGGCGUAAAGCGCGCGCAGGUGGUUUCUUAAGUCUGAUGUGAAAGCCCACGGCUCAACCGUGGAGGGUCAUUGGAAACUGGGAGACUUGAGUGCAGAAGAGGAAAGUGGAAUUCCAUGUGUAGCGGUGAAAUGCGUAGAGAUAUGGAGGAACACCAGUGGCGAAGGCGACUUUCUGGUCUGUAACUGACACUGAGGCGCGAAAGCGUGGGGAGCAAACAGGAUUAGAUACCCUGGUAGUCCACGCCGUAAACGAUGAGUGCUAAGUGUUAGAGGGUUUCCGCCCUUUAGUGCUGAAGUUAACGCAUUAAGCACUCCGCCUGGAUCGCCCCC
This 1080-nucleotide ribosomal RNA is filed under the name Bacillus mycoides. Its description in RNAcentral is "bacterial SSU rRNA". The stretch from base 176 to 1080 matches the Rfam family "Bacterial small subunit ribosomal RNA", at positions 1 to 885 of the family's 1533-position model. The record is from RNAcentral. Lineage: Bacteria; Bacillati; Bacillota; Bacilli; Caryophanales; Bacillaceae.